Molecule: ribosomal RNA, 484 nt
Filed under: uncultured bacterium
Lineage: Bacteria
Description: partial 16S ribosomal RNA
Rfam family: Bacterial small subunit ribosomal RNA
Source: RNAcentral
AUUGAACGCUGGCGGCAGGCCUAACACAUGCAAGUCGAGCGGAUGAAGGGAGCUUGCUCCUGGAUUCAGCGGCGGACGGGUGAGUAAUGCCUAGGAAUCUGCCUGGUAGUGGGGGAUAACGUCCGGAAACGGGCGCUAAUACCGCAUACGUCCUGAGGGAGAAAGUGGGGGAUCUUCGGACCUCACGCUAUCAGAUGAGCCUAGGUCGGAUUAGCUAGUUGGUGGGGUAAAGGCCUACCAAGGCGACGAUCCGUAACUGGUCUGAGAGGAUGAUCAGUCACACUGGAACUGAGACACGGUCCAGACUCCUACGGGAGGCAGCAGUGGGGAAUAUUGGACAAUGGGCGAAAGCCUGAUCCAGCCAUGCCGCGUGUGUGAAAAAGGUCUUCGGAUUGUAAAGCACUUUAAGUUGGGAGGAAGGGCAGUAAGUUGAUACCUUGCUGUUUUGACGUUACCAACAGAAUAAGCACCGGCUAACUUCGUG